UUAGCUGAGAGGUGGUGCAUGGCCGUCGUCAGUUCGUACUGUGAAGCAUCCUGUUAAGUCAGGCAACGAGCGAGACCCACGUCCACAGUUGCCAGCAUACCCCUCCGGGGUGAUGGGUACACUGUGGAGACCGCCGCUGCUAAAGCGGAGGAAGGAGUGGGCAACGGUAGGUCCAGUAUGCCCCGAAUCUCCCGGGCUACACGCGGGCUACAAUGGUUGGUACAAUGGGCAUCUACCCCGAAAGGGGGAAGGAAAUCUCUUAAAGCCAAUCGUAGUUCGGAUUGAGGGCUGCAACUCGCCCUCAUGAAGCUGGAAUCCGUAGUAAUCGCGUUUCAACAGAACGCGGUGAAUACGUCCCUGCUCCUU
RNAcentral lists this ribosomal RNA (366 nucleotides) under uncultured Methanosaeta sp. RNAcentral's name for it is "bacterial SSU rRNA". It matches the Rfam family "Archaeal small subunit ribosomal RNA", at positions 976 to 1338 of the family's 1478-position model. The record is from RNAcentral. Lineage: Archaea; Methanobacteriati; Methanobacteriota; Methanomicrobia; Methanotrichales; Methanotrichaceae.